Odocoileus virginianus texanus is the source of this 1257-nucleotide non-coding RNA. Lineage: Eukaryota; Metazoa; Chordata; Mammalia; Artiodactyla; Cervidae. The record is from RefSeq and is a predicted model, not a curated record.
GGGUCUCCUCCUCUCUUCCCCGAUUGUGUGGGGGCUGUCAUUGACCUGGCGUCGCUGCAAAACCGAAGUCGCUGAAUGAUGAUGUUGUAAAGUUGCCCGCCCGUCCCUGCCACGCCCAGGUAGUUUUUGGCAGCGGCGGCCGCUCCGGCUGCUGCUCUCCAGCUACCGCUUCAUUGGAGAGUUUUCCCUGAGGGAGCUUGGGCGUUGGACGGAGGACGCCGGGUCAUUCCUGUCAUGACCAUCCAAGGUGUGAUAAUCACAUGAGAGCACUCCGCUCCUGAUGUCAUUUGUCUCAUCAAACAAAAAUCUGUUUAAAAGUAAAUAUCCCUUUGACCAGAACCUUUCUUUAUUCAAUGGCUUGAUGGAUUUCCUUUACUCUGAUUCAAACCAAAGCUAUCCUUCUCAACCAAAACAAAAAAGGAUCUUGCAUGAGUCAAUCCCAGGAUGCCACUUUUACAGCACCAAUGGGUGAAGAAAACCUCAUGAAUAUCAAUCACAGAGACUCAGAGAGCAUCACUGAUGUCUGCUCCAAUGAAGAUGUCCCUGAAGUUGAACUUGUGAGCCUGCUAGAAGAACAACUACCCCAGUAUAAGCUCAGGGUGGACUCUCUCUUUCUUUAUGAAAAUCAAGAUUGGACUCAGUCCCCACACCAGCAGCAACAUGCAUCAGACACCCUCUCUCCAGUACUUGCUGAAGAGACUUUCCGUUAUAUGAGUGAGUAUUUGAAUUUAUCCGUUGAACUAAAGAUCAUGAGUAUCUUGUUGACUUUUACAAUAUUUGACAUCCCUAAAUGUUGUUUAGUUCGUACCUACUUUUAACUCAAACUGCUUUAACAACAUGAAGAGAUGACUCUAAUUGUGUUGUGUCUGAACGCAGAAAGUUUAUCGUUUUUAAGAAUCUGAGUGUCCAGGGUUGUGAGCAUACCUAGAGGUUUCCAAUUCUCUCCUCUUUUUCUUCACACUUUCCUCAGACUGAGUAGAAAGGGAAACAUUUUUUUAAAAAGUAGUGAGCGUGUUUAAAUUUUUAAUAUCCCUUUAUAUUUGUUAUCUUAACAGUUUAAUAUUUAGUCCGUUGAACUGACAUAGUCACAGGAACUUGUCAAGUCAUUAAGAAACAUAGUUCUUGGAUACAUAAGUGGUUUUAAUAAUGCCAAGGAGAAAUACAUGCACACUAUAUAGUCAUCUUCAUUAUUUAUGUAAGGAUUCAGAGAGAAUAUUUCAGUGAGAAACUAAGUCAGAUAUGUCCUAAAUAUAGAUC